RNAcentral lists this unclassified non-coding RNA (322 nucleotides) under uncultured fungus. RNAcentral's name for it is "partial contains 5.8S ribosomal RNA and internal transcribed spacer 2". The stretch from base 1 to 133 matches the Rfam family "5.8S ribosomal RNA", at positions 22 to 154 of the family's 154-position model. The record is from RNAcentral. Lineage: Eukaryota; Fungi.
UGGUUCUGGCAUCGAUGAAGAACGCAGCGAAAUGCGAUAAGUAAUGUGAAUUGCAGAAUUCAGUGAAUCAUCGAAUCUUUGAACGCACAUUGCGCCCGCUAGUACUCUAACGGGCAUGCCUGUUCGAGCGUCAUUUCAACCCUCAAGCUCUGCUUGGUGUUGGGGCAUUACAGCUUCGCUGUACUCCCUGAAAUGUAGUGGCAGAUCGGCUAUAAUUCCGAGCGUAGUAAUUUUAUCUCGUUUAGGACAUUACAGAAGACUCUCGCCGUAAACCCCAAAAUUUUAUUAGGUUGACCUCGGAUCAGGUAGGAAUACCCGCUGA